GUGUGUGUGUGUGUGUGUGUGUGUGUGUGUGUGUGUGUGUGUGUGCGUGCGCGCGCAUGCACACUCACUCA
RNAcentral lists this microRNA precursor (71 nucleotides) under Sorex araneus (European shrew). RNAcentral describes it as "miRNA (ENSSARG00000016893.1)". The record is from RNAcentral. Lineage: Eukaryota; Metazoa; Chordata; Mammalia; Eulipotyphla; Soricidae.